This 419-nucleotide ribosomal RNA is filed under the name uncultured bacterium. Its description in RNAcentral is "bacterial SSU rRNA". It matches the Rfam family "Bacterial small subunit ribosomal RNA", at positions 102 to 518 of the family's 1533-position model. The record is from RNAcentral.
ACGGGUGAGUAACGCGUAUGCAACCUACCUAGUACAGAGGGAAUAACCGGCGAAAGUCGGACUAAUACCGACAGUAAAACAGGGGCACCGCAUGGUGAUAUUGUUAAAGAAAUUCGCUGAUAGAUGGGCAUGCGUUCCAUUAGGUAGUUGGUGAGGUAACGGCUCACCAAGCCGACGAUGGAUAGGGGAACUGAGAGGUUGGUCCCCCACACUGGUACUGAGACACGGACCAGACUCCUACGGGAGGCAGCAGUGAGGAAUAUUGGUCAAUGGGCGGGAGCCUGAACCAGCCAAGUCGCGUGAAGGAAGAAGGAUCUAUGGUUCGUAAACUUCUUUUGCAGGGGAAUAAAGUGCAGGACGUGUCCUGUUUUGUAUGUACCCUGAGAAUAAGGAUCGGCUAACUCCGUGCCAGCCGCGGC